This 348-nucleotide ribosomal RNA is filed under the name uncultured bacterium. RNAcentral describes it as "bacterial SSU rRNA". It matches the Rfam family "Bacterial small subunit ribosomal RNA", at positions 565 to 913 of the family's 1533-position model. The record is from RNAcentral.
GGGCGCGUAGGCGGCCGAUCAAGUCAGAUGUGAAAGUCCUGGGCUUAACCUGGGGACUGCAUUUGAUACUGAUUGGCUUGAAUUCGGGAGAGGAUAGCGGAAUUCCCAGUGUAGAGGUGAAAUUCGUAGAUAUUGGGAAGAACACCGGUGGCGAAGGCGGCUAUCUGGACCGACAUUGACGCUGAGGCGCGAAAGCGUGGGGAGCAAACAGGAUUAGAUACCCUGGUAGUCCACGCCGUAAACGAUGAGUGCUAGACGCUGGGGGGCUUGCUCUUCGGUGUCGCAGCUAACGCAUUAAGCACUCCGCCUGGGGAGUACGGUCGCAAGAUUAAAACUCAAAGGAAUUGA